Molecule: non-coding RNA, 28 nt
Filed under: Mus musculus (house mouse)
Lineage: Eukaryota; Metazoa; Chordata; Mammalia; Rodentia; Muridae
Source: RNAcentral
UGUGAGUCAUGAGUACUGGAGGUGAGGA